CGGUCCUCUGCACUGACUUCCGGUCCGCUUCAUCGGUUUCCGUCCCGCCCUCAGCCUGGAAGGAAGGUUCCGGGCAGGAUCCGUUCCGCCCCGUCUGCCUGGGGAGGCCGUGGGGAGCGUGAGCUGUGGCUGCAGGAGUUCUAAGAACUACGUCAUGUAGUUCAUUAUCGGAUUGGCUACAAGCAUUGUCUUUAGUGUGAGAUCUGAGCCGGGCUGGUAGUGACUACAGGAGACGUGUGAAAAAUGAGAUUACUCAGUGCUGCCUUAAACCAGACCUCCCCGUGGGACGCCCGUCAGAACAGUCCGCCUGCCGGGCCCGGCUCUGCUAGGUGUGUGCUCCA
Non-coding RNA from Chrysemys picta bellii (western painted turtle), 341 nucleotides. The record is from RefSeq and is a predicted model, not a curated record. NCBI's taxonomy places the organism in Eukaryota, Metazoa, Chordata, Testudines, Emydidae.